AUACGGAGGAUCCAAGCGUUAUCCGGAAUCAUUGGGUUUAAAGGGUCCGUAGGCGGCCCUGUAAGUCAGUGGUGAAAUCUCCCGGCUCAACCGGGAAAUUGCCAUUGAUACUGCAGGGCUUGAAUUAUUGGGAAGUAACUAGAAUAUGUAGUGUAGCGGUGAAAUGCUUAGAUAUUACAUGGAAUACCGAUUGCGAAGGCAGGUUACUACCAAUACAUUGACGCUGAUGGACGAAAGCGUGGGUAGCGAACAGGAUUAGAUACCCUGGUAGUCCACGCCGUAAACGAUGGAUACUAGCUGUUCGGGAGCAAUUCUGAGUGGCUAAGCGAAAGUGAUAAGUAUCCCACCUGGGGAGUACGUUCGCAAGAAUGAA
RNAcentral lists this ribosomal RNA (373 nucleotides) under uncultured bacterium. RNAcentral's name for it is "bacterial SSU rRNA". It matches the Rfam family "Bacterial small subunit ribosomal RNA", at positions 523 to 898 of the family's 1533-position model. The record is from RNAcentral.